UGUACUGUGGAGAUUCCCUCUCUCACCUUGGAUGUGUCCCCUGUGCCAGGGAUUCAGAGAAGGACAGGGUUGCUGGAUUUGAACCAGCAAAUCUUGCUGAGUGACUGAAAGUUAUUACCAGCUGAUGUCUGAAAUUAAUGUGGUGAAAUAAGUCCAUUCCAACUGAAAGGUGUCCAUAUCACAAAACAGCCACCACGAAUGCACUUGGUGAGUCCCUGAGGGGUAGUGUCAGCACAAAGGACUGUGGCUAUGAAGGGUGAUCUAUUCUCCUACCCCAGAAAGGGGUCCAUCCAUCUAUCUGAGGCAUUUUGGAGAGGUGGUAUGGAAAAGCUUGCAUGGCUGCUGUGUGUGCUGUCAGCAAGCACACAGCAACAAGGAUGCCAGCCUGGCAGCAAGCACUCCUGACAAUUAAAAAAAAA
Molecule: non-coding RNA, 419 nt
Organism: Chelonoidis abingdonii (Abingdon island giant tortoise)
Lineage: Eukaryota; Metazoa; Chordata; Testudines; Testudinidae
Source: RefSeq, a predicted model, not a curated record